This 966-nucleotide long non-coding RNA is filed under the name Pan troglodytes (chimpanzee). Its description in RNAcentral is "long non-coding RNA NONPTRT011351". The record is from RNAcentral. Lineage: Eukaryota; Metazoa; Chordata; Mammalia; Primates; Hominidae.
UCCAGACAUACAUGUGACUUGCUCUCUCAUGAAAGCUCUAUAAGGGCAGGGAUUUUUGUCCAUUUUCUUUCAUUGUUGACUCCCCAAAGCCUAGACCAAUGCCCGGCACACAGUAGGUGCUCAAUAAAGUAUUUGUGGAUUGAUCUCCAGGUAAAUCAUGCAAGAAAAAAAAUGUGUGGAUUGAAUGUGUGUGUGCAUGUAUGCAUGCAUUCCUGUGACCUUCUCGUGUGUUCACGGGUGUGUGGGUACAGCCGCUUGCUGGGUGUGUCUGCUUGGCCAGGGAUGUGUAUGUGGGGUUCUGUCUGGGACAACUGGACAGGGAGUGGACAGGAAGGGGUCAGCUCUGGGCAGCCCCUCCACCUGCCCAAGGCCAGGCCCCCUCUGUGGCCCAGAUCUUCCUGUGGCUUGGGGAAGCUGCAAGUGAGUGGAAGGAGGCGGUGGCCUGGGGCCAGGAGUACCUGAAGACCCACCCAGCAGGGAGGAGCCCGGCCACACCCAUCGUGCUGGUCAAGCAGGGCCAUGAGCCUCCCACCUUCAUUGGAUGGUUCUUCACUUGGGACCCUUACAAGUGGACUGUGAGUGAGGCCUGAAACCCCCAGCCCCACCCUAAUUUGUGGGGAGAGGAACCUGACCUGGCUGGGGAUUGCCAGUGUGUGCGAGAGACCUGGUCUUGUCCUCAGGCCCCUCCUGUGUCCCAUUGGUGCCCCUUCUCCUGCCCUGGCCCUGAUACUUGCCCCGAUUCUUGCUCCAGAGCCACCCGUCCCACAAGGAAGUGGUGGAUGGCAGCCCGGCAGCAGCAUCAACCAUCUCUGAGAUAACAGCAGUGAAGUCAACAACUUCCGGCUAUCCAGAUGGCCGGGCAAUGGCAGGGCAGGUGCCAUGGCCCUGCAGGCCCUCAAGGGCUCCCAGGACAGCUCAGAGAAUGAUCUGGUGCGAAGCCCCAAGUCGGGUGGCAGCAGAACCAGC